GUACUAAAGUAGUAUUAGUUAUAAGCUUGAAACUUAAAAAAUUUGGCGGUAUUUUAAUCUUUUCAGAGGAACCUGUCCUAUAAUCGAUAUUCCACGUUAAAUUUUACUAAAUUAUUUAUAUAUCGUUGUCGAAAGAAUAAAUUUUCUAAAAUUUUUAAAUAAAUAGAUGUCAAAUCAAGGUGUAGUUGAUAAUUUAGAAGAGAUGGGUUACAAUAAAAUUAUUUAGGAGAUAUAUUGAAGGUGGAUUUGAAAGUAAAUUAAUUUUAAUAAAUUUAGUUGAUUAUAGUUCUAAAAUAUGU
Molecule: ribosomal RNA, 299 nt
Filed under: Jellisonia sp. F218
Lineage: Eukaryota; Metazoa; Arthropoda; Insecta; Siphonaptera; Ceratophyllidae
Description: partial 12S ribosomal RNA
Source: RNAcentral